Molecule: ribosomal RNA, 336 nt
Filed under: Sigmops longipinnis
Lineage: Eukaryota; Metazoa; Chordata; Actinopteri; Stomiiformes; Gonostomatidae
Description: 12S ribosomal RNA
Rfam family: Bacterial small subunit ribosomal RNA
Source: RNAcentral
CGCCAGGGAACUACAGGCACCAGCUUAAAACCCAAAGGACUUGGCGGUACUUCAAAUCCCCCUAGAGGAGCCUGUUCUUGAACCGAUAACCCCCGUUUAACCUCUCCACCCCUAGCCAACCCCGCCUAUAUACCGCCGUCGCCAGCUUACCCUCUUCCAAUGACCUAUAGUAAGCACAACAGAUAUAAUCUAAAACGUCAGGUCAAGGUGUAGCGCAUGGGGCGGAUAAAAAUAGGCUACAUUUCCUACCUCAGGACACUGCGAAAGAUGAUUCAUGAAAUAUGAGCUUCAGAAGCUGAAUUUAGUAGUAAGAAGAAAACAGAGUGUUCUCCUGAA